AUUUGUCUCUUCCAGAGCUUAGCAUUUUUUCCAUUUCUUUCUAAUUUCAUUCUCUUCAAGAACGGGACCAGCCGAGCACAGGGGGCACCUCUUUUUGAUUCCUGUAAAAGGUUCAGGAGGUUGUGCUGAAGAGGUUGGCAUGGCACAGAGUUGAGCAAACAUUGUGUCAAGUUCAUCAUCGAAUAUUUUUUGUACAUCCGCAAUCUUAGAAAAAAAAAAAAAAAAA
RNAcentral lists this non-coding RNA (226 nucleotides) under Karenia brevis. The record is from RNAcentral. Lineage: Eukaryota; Dinophyceae; Gymnodiniales; Kareniaceae.